UACGGGGGGACAAGCGUUGUUCGGAAUUACUGGGCGUAAAGGGCUCGUAGGCGGCCCACUAAGUCAAACGUGAAAUCCCUCGGCUUAACCGGGGAACUGCGUCUGAUACUGGAUGGCUUGAGUUUGGGAGAGGGAUGCGGAAUUCCAGGUGUAGCGGUGAAAUGCGUAGAUAUCUGGAGGAACACCGGUGGCGAAGGCGGCAUCCUGGACCAACACUGACGCUGAGGAGCGAAAGCCAGGGGAGCAAACGGG
Molecule: ribosomal RNA, 252 nt
Filed under: uncultured bacterium
Lineage: Bacteria
Description: partial 16S ribosomal RNA
Rfam family: Bacterial small subunit ribosomal RNA
Source: RNAcentral